RNAcentral lists this ribosomal RNA (402 nucleotides) under uncultured bacterium. RNAcentral's name for it is "bacterial SSU rRNA". It matches the Rfam family "Bacterial small subunit ribosomal RNA", at positions 355 to 774 of the family's 1533-position model. The record is from RNAcentral.
UGGGGAAUAUUGGACAAUGGGCGCAAGCCUGAUCCAGCCAUGCCGCGUGUGUGAUGAAGGCCUUAGGGUUGUAAAGCACUUUCGCCGAUGAAGAUAAUGACUGUAGUCGGAGAAGAAGCCCCGGCUAACUUCGUGCCAGCAGCCGCGGUAAUACGAAGGGGGCAAGCGUUGUUCGGAUUUACUGGGCGUAAAGCGUACGUAGGCGGAUUGUUAAGUGAGGGGUGAAAUCCCGGGGCUCAACCUCGGAACUGCCUUUCAUACUGGCAAUCUUGAGUCCGGGAGAGGUGAGUGGAACUCCUAGUGUAGAGGUGAAAUUCGUAGAUAUUAGGAAGAACACCAGUGGCGAAGGCGGCUCACUGGCCCGGAACUGACGCUGAGGUACGAAAGCGUGGGGAGCAAACA